CCUACGGGUGGCAGCAGUCGAGAAUCAUUCACAAUGGGGGAAACCCUGAUGGUGCGACGCCGCGUGGGGGAAUGAAGGUCUUCGGAUUGUAAACCCCUGUCAUGUGGGAGCAAAUUAAAAAGAUAGUACCACAAGAGGAAGAGACGGCUAACUCUGUGCCAGCACCCGCGGUAAUACAGAGGUCUCAAGCGUUGUUCGGAAUCACUGGGCGUAAAGCGUGCGUAGGCUGUUUCGUAGGUCGUGUGUGAAAGGCGCGGGCUCAACCCGCGGACGGCACAUGAUACUGCGAGACUAGAGUGAUGGAGGGGGAACCGGAAUUCUCGGUGUAGCAGUGAAAUGCGUAGAUAUCGAGAGGAACACUCGUGGCGAAGGCGGGUUCCUGGACAUUAACUGACGCUGAGGCACGAAGGCCAGGGGAGCGAAAGGGAUUAGAUACCCCAGUAGUC
This 446-nucleotide ribosomal RNA is filed under the name uncultured bacterium. RNAcentral describes it as "partial 16S ribosomal RNA". It matches the Rfam family "Bacterial small subunit ribosomal RNA", at positions 338 to 795 of the family's 1533-position model. The record is from RNAcentral.